AACGUUAAAAAAAUUCAUGGCGAGAAAAAAAAUUUAAGGAUCAUAUGCGAAGUUGAGAAUUUUCUAAGUCCAACACAUGGGAAAGGGGUAUGCACGGAAACAGAGGGGGGAGGGUGGUGUGAAAUACUAGCAAGUGUGUAGGUGGCCUUGAAACAUUCCUCAGUCCAAGUUCCACAUUUUAGCGGGUAACGUACGAAAAGGGGAGCAAAAGAAACGGUAAAACUAAGUGCGUGGGUGUGUGGGGAAUGCUAUAGCGUUGGUGCUGACGUUUGGGCGUGGCACAUUGUAGUGGCAUUAUCGAAAUACCGAAUCUAUGGAAAGUUUUCUAUAACUUUACUUUAUGAAAUAUUCAAAUAUCGACAUCAUUACUGAUUGGUUUUACAAAUCAUUCUUUUGGUUUUACGGAGUCGUUUUGAUUGUUUGUAAAGUGAAAGAUAAGCGAAAAAUAUGAAGAAAGGAAAAGAAGUGAAAGAAGAGUAUAGGAGGCGGAAUAGGAGAAGAAUUCUGGACUAAAGGAUUACUACGAGAUGGAAUGACAUGCUUGAAUAUACGCAUUGAUUGUACCCCACGCAAAGAUAGUUGGUUAGCAAGCUUGCUUGCGAUGCGUGGGUACUCGGGUUCAAAUCCCGGGGGAAGCUUGUAAAAGGGAACAAAUGUGCGUCGGCUCCAAUGUACGGAAGGUGGGUCGCGGUGGUUUACCAUCGUGGCCUUUCCACCCCCUUCUUGUACAUGGUCGCCUCGCGCUCUUCUCAGCUGUCAAUUCCGUUGGCCGAGUAACUCUUGUGGGUGGCAAGAGUUGGCUGGCAGAAUUGACUACUGACGAUGGAGAUUUGUUCCUUUCUGGCUAGGGGAGAGUCUGGCGCUGGACUCAAUCCGUGUGCGAACGGCUUUU
Molecule: long non-coding RNA, 892 nt
Organism: Daphnia magna
Lineage: Eukaryota; Metazoa; Arthropoda; Branchiopoda; Diplostraca; Daphniidae
Exons: 2
Source: RefSeq, a predicted model, not a curated record